RNAcentral lists this ribosomal RNA (468 nucleotides) under uncultured bacterium. RNAcentral describes it as "partial 16S ribosomal RNA". It matches the Rfam family "Bacterial small subunit ribosomal RNA", at positions 28 to 507 of the family's 1533-position model. The record is from RNAcentral.
GACGAACGCUGGCGGCGUGCUUAACACAUGCAAGUCGAACGGAAAGGCCCUGCUUUUGUGGGGUGCUCGAGUGGCGAACGGGUGAGUAACACGUGAGUAACCUGCCCUUGACUUUGGGAUAACUUCAGGAAACUGGGGCUAAUACCGGAUAGGAGCUCCUGCUGCAUGGUGGGGGUUGGAAAGUUUCGGCGGUUGGGGAUGGACUCGCGGCUUAUCAGCUUGUUGGUGGGGUAGUGGCUUACCAAGGCUUUGACGGGUAGCCGGCCUGAGAGGGUGACCGGCCACAUUGGGACUGAGAUACGGCCCAGACUCCUACGGGAGGCAGCAGUGGGGAAUAUUGCACAAUGGGCGGAAGCCUGAUGCAGCAACGCCGCGUGCGGGAAGACGGCCUUCGGGGUGGAAACCGCUUUCGCCUGUGACGAAGCGUGAGUGACGGUAAUGGGUAAAGAAGCACCGGCUAACUACGUG